ACCCAGCUGACGAGUACCAACUGGGACGAAACGUAAGUCCUGGAU
RNAcentral lists this non-coding RNA (45 nucleotides) under Schistosoma mansoni. Lineage: Eukaryota; Metazoa; Platyhelminthes; Trematoda; Strigeidida; Schistosomatidae. The record is from RNAcentral.